GAUCCGAACGUAUCAUUUUUGGUUUAUCUUGAUAUUGUGUUUUAGUCAUUUCUAUGAAAUUCUUUAGAUACGAGGUCGCUUCUGACUUGUACUGCAUGAGGUAUAUCUCAGUGUAUCUGGAAUAGUCAUCAAUUAGUGUUAAAAUGUAUUUUUUGUUACCCGGCGGUUAUUUCCUUUAUUAGAGAUACAUUCAUCAAAGAGCUUUCCAGUACGGUGAAUAACUUUGUCGCCUGCAUCGCAGAGGUGAUUUCUUACCGGAGUAGACAGACCUGACAAACAGAUUGCAGUUUUGACAUAGAACUUCAUCACCUGUAUCGAAGGAAUUUUUUCCUCCGCAGGCGAUGAGUUGCACUGCGAGGAUUCGAUUCUUGCCCAGUCUUGGUAUUGGCUGUCAAACAGAUCAACGUGGGAUAGUUCUUUGUGAGUAGCACCCACUGAAAUAGAGAUAUACUGGAACGCUUACUCUCGUGGUGGGGGGAAGCAAAUUCGCUCGCAGAGAGAGAUAGCUCAACAGGGGAUCUCUGUCCUUUUCUUCACAGUCCCAACCAAAUGCAUGUCCUCGUAAACAAAACGCAUAACCUGUGGAGGUGAAAUGCGUGAGGUGAUAUUGUGGUUAGUUCUCUUGCAUAGUGUGGUUAGUUCUCUUGAUUAGUGUGAAUUAUACUUUGUAAACAUGGUUAAGAACUGUCGCAUAAAAUCGUGCAAAGUGGUUUGGUCCCCCAAUCAAAAUACAUCAUUCUUUGCGUAAAUAAUAUAAUCAUUUAUUACGAAGUGCGUAGCUCCUAGCCUAUAAGUUUAAUUGUCGAAUACAUCGAAAAUUAAAUAAUUUUGGCUUUAGCCUUCCACCCGACGGUACUGAAUUGAGACGAAAAUGGAUCGAUGCAGCACGUGGGUUGAAAACAUUAUCCACAAGUUCAUUUGUGUGUAGCAAUCAUUUUUUGCCGAAAGAUUAUGCUAAUUGGACUCAGUAUGGUCGUAAAAAAAUAUUAAAAAAGAUGCAGCACCCAGCAUUUUUGAUCCUGUACCCCCCAAUGCUUAUGACAAGAUUCUCGAUAAAAUCGACAAUGCAGUAGAAAGCUUCUCCCCAGAAAAAGAUUCAAGUACUCGUACAGUAAAUGUGGAGCGAGAUAGAAAAGCAAGUGAUAUUGCUACACCAAAAUCCUCCCGGAAGUGUGAAGAUAGAGGUGCUGAACGGCCUGUAAAGAAAUUUUGCAGUAUUGCUGUGCAAACCUGUCCAAGCCUCAGUGGGCCGAGCGAGCGAGAAAAAGAUUUACAGAAAAAAAUAAAAAUAUUGCAAGAUCGUUUGAGACUAAAAGAAAAAAGAAUCACCAAGGUUACAGACAUGAUUACUCACCUUAAAAAAGCAGGUAGAUGUCCGGAUAAUUUAGAAAACAUACUUUUCAAACAAUUCACUGAGUUCGAUUUACAACUUUUCCGAAACGAACAAAAUAACAAUACAAGAAGUCUAACACUUAUUAUAAGAAUAAAUAACAAAAAAAAAUUGUGUAUAGAUAAAAUUGUUGAGAUAAUGUAUAAAUUAAGAGUUUAUUAAUAAAUCGUAAUAAAAAUAAUAAAUAUGACUUUACUCAAACACUUAAAAUUUAAACGAUGCCAAUAGGGCGUACAUAAAAAAAAUGACAUGAAAAUAUGAUAAUAAAAGAAUAAAUAGGAGUACGAAUUUAUAGCAUAAGACAAAGAUCAAAAGAAUCAGUCAAUAAAAGAAUAAUAAAUACAGGUUAAAUAACUAAAAGACAACACAAGAAUGCGAUGUAAGAAUGAAAAUGAAAAAUGAUUAGUAAAAUUGCGUAAAGUUGAUGAUAUUGUGACCGUUAAAAUGGCGUUGUCGAUCCUCAGGUGUGUAUCAGCUAGAAUCACCCUCCUUUUUCUGGACUUCAGGUCGUAUAUAGAUGAGUUUAGUCCAUGAGAUGAAAAUGCCCGCUCCAGGUCGGAAAUAUGCUCCAAAUAUUCAGGUUUUUCUUUUUUUAUAUAAAUGUAAAGAUGACGAAGGUGAGGGGAGUCCGUUUGACAUGUAUCAAUGAGUCAGGUAUAGAUAACUGAUAUUGAGGUGAUCACCGAUAUCGAUAAAGUGUCCUAAAUUAUGCUCCCUCUUGCCUCAUACCUCUUAUUUCUCCCACUCUUCGCUCCCUAAUCCUCACUUCCCCUUCCAACAUCCUAUCGAUCAUCUGAUGAUUCGUUACA
This is an RNA transcript of Athalia rosae (coleseed sawfly), 2199 nucleotides long. RefSeq lists it as uncharacterized. Lineage: Eukaryota; Metazoa; Arthropoda; Insecta; Hymenoptera; Athaliidae. The transcript has 4 exons. The record is from RefSeq and is a predicted model, not a curated record.